CAAUAUCAGCAACAAUUUUAUCCUUCAAAAUAUUUGAGGGGGAAAACAGAACAUUUAUCAAUGAAUAUUUCAGAACAUAAUAGAUUUAUUGCAUUUAUAUACACAGUCAUCACACAAUGUUCCACUCCACCUUAAACAUAAAGAGAAAUAAACACAGCAUGGAAAAUGACAAAGUAUUUUCUUUUUUUUUUUUUAUGGUGCUCUUGUGGUGAAGAAAAGCCUUAUGAGUUAUAUGAACUUGAUAUUUCAUAAACAAGUUUGAUACCCAACCAAGAGGGUCUUAGAAGUAUAAUACAGGCUCUUGGCUUGGGUAUAUGGUUUUUCUUCUCUUCACAGAGAUGCAGACAACUCAGCGAAUAAACAGCCUUUUAUAAUUGGACAUAGAUAAGAAGGAAUCAUAAUAAAGUUGCAGCUGGGCCCUUUACUUUCUAAAUUAUUGAGGUAAUCAUUAGCAGCUACUUGGAAAAGGUAAACUAAGCUACAAAAGGCCAUUCAUCAGUAGUAGUACUGUGAGCAAGACAAGCUGGGCCACACUUUGGCUUAUUCAAUAUUUGGCUUGCUAAAAGCUUAUUGUGUCCAAACACAUUAGCUGGUUAAGUCUAGCGAAGUAAGAGUUCAUGAACUUCUAAGCCAAGGUCAGGGGAAAGUUCGAACAGUUUUGAGAUACCUGUCUGAAUACCUUGAGGGAUAUGUUGGCUAAGAAUUUGGCUUAUAUGGAAAUUUACUGUAGUAAGAGAUUCAAAAAGGACAGAAAUAUUCAUUAUAAUCAUUCCUAAAGUUAUUACAUUAUGUUAAUGUUGAUUAUUAAAAUUAAAAAUUUUAGAACAUUCAUCAGAAUAUAUCAAAAAUGAAACAUUUAUAAGCCAUAUUAAUUGUAUUGGUCCAACUAUAACUAAUUAAUAAAACCAGAAAAAUGCAAUGUUCAUUUAUCAUAAAAUUAUGUUGGUACAGGUUACAAUCUUACUUAUGUCCCUGUAGACUUUUGUAAGAAGUUGAAAAAGAUUUUUUUUUUUUUUAUUCCUUUCAAGGCAAAUAUCCUUCAUGUUUAACCCAAUUUAAAUAAACAAUAAAACAAAUUCAUAAACAAGCCUAAUAACAAAUACAUUUAUUAUAUUGUUUUAAAGCACAUUCCCAAAUCUAAAAAGUUAAAGUUUGGCUCAUUUACUGGACAAUUUUGAAAAUUAAGCUAGAAAUGGAAUUCUUUUGAUGCCAUUAAUAAACAGAUACAAUCAAGCUAUCAAGCCAACCUUCAAAUCAUUCACAUAUUGCUUGAGCCAAAAGAAUAGCACAAGAAAUUUAUAUUUGAGAACAAAGAUUUCUCAUUUUUUGAAGUUGCACAUAAUGAAUAAAGUUUCUCUAAAAAAUAUCAAAAAGAAACAUCUAUGAAAAUAUCACUUACUGUUUGCCAGAAUUUCCAGAUGAAAAAUUAGUGAAAACAUGCAUGAUUCUACUGAAAAGUCCAUUAAUGAAGGAUAGGUGAGGUGGGGACCCCUUCACCGCAUGUCUCAGGAUGAGAAUUCACUUUCACAAGUAACACAUUCUUCUACAAACAGCAUCAGCUUAUCACUUCAGAUUUUACAGAGAGAAGGCAAGCCUUCAGCCCUGCUGGAUUUGGACUUGAAACAGUUAAGCUUGGUUUUUACCAUAUCUCAUGCAAAAAUAGCCAAAGUUUUCAUUUCUGGAAGAGCAUCACUAGAAUGAAGAUUGCAUUUAUUGUGCAUUCUACAUGGAGAGAGCACGCUAAAAUUAUUGACAAUGGACUCUUUCCAAUGUAAUUGCAGCCAUCAAGAUUUGCCCAAAUCAAGAACAGUAAGCAUGACCAACCUAGUGAAAUUCAAUUAAAACCAAUGUUGUCAAAGGCACACCAGGGCCAGGCACAAGCCUCAGUGCCUCCAGGAGAAAAAGGAAAGCAAUGAUCAAGAGGCAUGUCUAGCACCAGGUUCACCUCAGGCACAUUUAGCUCAUCUGAGUGUGUUUGUGUUUAUUAUUAUUUUUUUUUCUCAGUUUUAAGCUAAGUACCAGAGGGUAGCUUUGGUGCGAAUGUAAAGUUACUCCAUUUGUGAUUUGGAGGUCAUGAGUUCGCGCCAUUGAAACAGCAACACACUCUUUGCAAAGCAAGGGUAAGGCAACGUAGAUCAACUCUCUCUAGCCACAAGUGUGGGAUGCUUUGGGGUCACCUUUUUUUAAGCUAAGUACAAACCACACCCAAUUCACUCACUGUCUGCUGUCCAUAGAGAUGGACACACCACUUUUUUUUUUUUUUCUUGUUCUU
This 2272-nucleotide unclassified non-coding RNA is filed under the name Hevea brasiliensis (rubber tree). The record is from RNAcentral. Lineage: Eukaryota; Viridiplantae; Streptophyta; Magnoliopsida; Malpighiales; Euphorbiaceae.